CUUUUAAACUUCCUGGUCUUCCAGAAUAUGCUGUCAACCUAAAGUUUAAAAAGUCCGCUUUAAACCAACAAGAAAUUAACAGAUUGUUAUUGACCUGUGGUAGCUGGUAUUAACGCCAUGAUGACACCCUUUGAAAUAAGCUGAAGUUUCAACUGGAGUUUGUUGAAGGAUAUUUUGUAGUUGACAGUUUCAGAACUAGAACCAACAGACAUCUGGGACUUUUGGAUAAAAUGGAAAGUUGGGAUGAGAAACUUAGUACAGCUGCUGGGGAGGGAAAUCUUCAAGAUGUGGAAUUAUCUUUAGAAAAUGGAGCUAAUUUGGAAUAUAAAACAGGUUAUG
This is a long non-coding RNA of Mytilus trossulus (common blue mussel), 339 nucleotides long. RefSeq lists it as uncharacterized. The record is from RefSeq and is a predicted model, not a curated record. Lineage: Eukaryota; Metazoa; Mollusca; Bivalvia; Mytilida; Mytilidae. The transcript is spliced from 4 exons.